Sarcophilus harrisii (Tasmanian devil) is the source of this 41-nucleotide non-coding RNA. The record is from Rfam. NCBI's taxonomy places the organism in Eukaryota, Metazoa, Chordata, Mammalia, Dasyuromorphia, Dasyuridae.
UCUGGGGUGUGGCGUGAGUACAGAGAAGCUAUCACCUCAGA